AGAGUUUGAUCAUGGCUCAGGAUGAACGCUAGCGGCAGGCCUAAUACAUGCAAGUCGAACGGUAGAUUGCUUUCGGGUAAUUGAGAGUGGCGAACGGGUGCGUAACGCGUAUGCAACCUACCCUAUACAGGGGGAUAGCCCGGAGAAAUCUGGAUUAAUACCCCAUGGUAUCAUUGAGCUGCAUGGUUUAAUGAUUAAAGAUUCAUCGGUAUAGGAUGGGCAUGCGUCUGAUUAGCUAGUUGGCGGUGUAACGGACCACCAAGGCUACGAUCAGUAGGGGUUCUGAGAGGAAGGUCCCCCACACUGGCACUGAGAUACGGGCCAGACUCCUACGGGAGGCAGCAGUAGGGAAUAUUGGGCAAUGGACGAGAGUCUGACCCAGCCAUGCCGCGUGCAGGAAGACGGCGUUCUGCGUUGUAAACUGCUUUUAUCUGGGAAGAAAAUGCCCCUGCGGGGGAAAUUGCCGGUACCAGAUGAAUAAGCACCGGCUAACUCCGUGCCAGCAGCCGCGGUAAUACGGAGGGUGCAAGCGUUGUCCGGAUUUAUUGGGUUUAAAGGGUGCGUAGGCGGCUGUUUAAGUCAGUGGUGAAAGACUCCGGCUCAACCGGAGCAGUGCCAUUGAUACUGGACAGCUUGAGUAUUGGAGGGGUACAUGGAAUUGAUGGUGUAGCGGUGAAAUGCAUAGAUACCAUCAGGAACACCGAUAGCGAAGGCAUUGUACUGGCCAAUAACUGACGCUGAUGCACGAAAGCAUGGGUAGCGAACAGGAUUAGAUACCCUAGUAGUCC
RNAcentral lists this ribosomal RNA (788 nucleotides) under uncultured bacterium. RNAcentral describes it as "bacterial SSU rRNA". It matches the Rfam family "Bacterial small subunit ribosomal RNA", at positions 8 to 796 of the family's 1533-position model. The record is from RNAcentral.